UAAUACAGAGGUGGCAAGCGUUGUUCGGAAUUACUGGGCGUAAAGGGCGCGUAGGCGGCCUUCUAAGUCGGACGUGAAAGCCCCAGGCUUAACCUGGGAACUGCGUCUGAUACUGGGAGGCUUGGAUUCGGGAGAGGGAUGUGGAAUUCCAGGUGUAGCGGUGAAAUGCGUAGAUAUCUGGAGGAACACCGGUGGCGAAGGCGGCAUCCUGGACCGAGAUCGACGCUGAGGCGCGAAAGCUAGGGGAGCAAACGGG
This 256-nucleotide ribosomal RNA is filed under the name uncultured bacterium. RNAcentral describes it as "partial 16S ribosomal RNA". It matches the Rfam family "Bacterial small subunit ribosomal RNA", at positions 521 to 776 of the family's 1533-position model. The record is from RNAcentral.